CAGGGAUUGCCUCAGUAGCGGCGAGUGAAGCGGCAAAAGCUCAAAUUUGAAAUCUGGCGUCUUUGGCGUCCGAGUUGUAAUUUGAAGAAGGUAUCUUUGGGCCCGGCUCUUGUCUAUGUUCCUUGGAACAGGACGUCACAGAGGGUGAGAAUCCCGUGCGAUGAGAUGACCCGGGUCUGUGUAAAGUUCCUUCGACGAGUCGAGUUGUUUGGGAAUGCAGCUCUAAGUGGGUGGUAAAUUCCAUCUAAAGCUAAAUAUUGGCGAGAGACCGAUAGCGAACAAGUACAGUGAUGGAAAGAUGAAAAGAACUUUGAAAAGAGAGUGAAAAAGUACGUGAAAUUGUUGAAAGGGAAGGGCUUGAGAUCAGACUUGGUAUUUUGCAUGCUGCUCUCUCGGGGGCGGCCGCUGCGGUUUACCGGGCCAGCAUCGGUUUGGAGCGGCAGGAUAAUGGCGGAGGAAUGUGGCACGGCUUCUGCUGUGUGUUAUAGCCUCUGACGAUGCUGCCAGCCUAGACCGAGGACUGCGGUUUUUAACCUAGGAUGUUGGCAUAAUGAUCUUAAGUCGCCCGUCUUGAAACACGGACCAAGGAGUCUAACGUCUAUGCGAGUGUUUGGGUGUAAAACCCGUACGCGUAAUGAAAGUGAACGAAGGUGGGGGCCCAUUAGGGUGCACCAUCGACCGAUCCUGAUGUGUUCGGAUGGAUUUGAGUAAGAGCAUAGCUGUUGGGACCCGAAAGAUGGUGAACUAUGCCUGAAUAGGGUGAAGCCAGAGGAAACUCUGGUGGAGGCUCGUAGCGGUUCUGACGUGCAAAUCGAUCGUCGAAUUUGGGUAUAGG
RNAcentral lists this ribosomal RNA (835 nucleotides) under Candida albicans. RNAcentral describes it as "LSU rRNA". It matches the Rfam family "Eukaryotic large subunit ribosomal RNA", at positions 69 to 921 of the family's 3401-position model. The record is from RNAcentral. Lineage: Eukaryota; Fungi; Ascomycota; Pichiomycetes; Serinales; Debaryomycetaceae.